This 187-nucleotide ribosomal RNA is filed under the name Ligilactobacillus ruminis. RNAcentral describes it as "Lactobacillus ruminis 16S rRNA. Bacterial SSU". It matches the Rfam family "Bacterial small subunit ribosomal RNA", at positions 1 to 165 of the family's 1533-position model. Lineage: Bacteria; Bacillati; Bacillota; Bacilli; Lactobacillales; Lactobacillaceae. The record is from RNAcentral.
UAUAAAUUGAGAGUUUGAUCCUGGCUCAGGACGAACGCUGGCGGCGUGCCUAAUACAUGCAAGUCGAACGAAGCUUUUGAUCAAUAAAUGCUUGCAUUUAGCGAUUAAAAGACUGAGUGGCGAACGGGUGAGUAACACGUAGGCAACCUGCCCAAAAGAGGGGGAUAACACUUGGAAACAGGUGCUA